This 30-nucleotide non-coding RNA is filed under the name Homo sapiens (human). The record is from RNAcentral. Lineage: Eukaryota; Metazoa; Chordata; Mammalia; Primates; Hominidae.
UGCUCAGGGAGAGAGUUGAAAUGGUUGGCA